Molecule: ribosomal RNA, 2771 nt
Filed under: Parcubacteria group bacterium GW2011_GWF1_45_5
Lineage: Bacteria
Description: partial 23S ribosomal RNA
Rfam family: Bacterial large subunit ribosomal RNA
Source: RNAcentral
GUCUAAGGGCGUAUGGUGGAUGCCUUGGGAUAUUGAGGCGAUGAAGGGCGUGGCGUGACUGCGAUAAGUCCCGGUGAGGUGUCUAGCAACCUUUGACCCGGGAAUUUCCGAAUGGGGAAACCCUAUUGCGCAAACCGCAAUAACCGCAAACCCGCUGAAGUAAAACAUUCUAGUAAGCGGAGGAAAAGAAAAAACAAUCAGUUUUUUAUUUUAUCGGUUUAUGGUUUCCAUAAACUGACGAAAUAAUUAACUGAUCCAUUCCCUUAGUAGUGGCGAGCGAAAAGGGAAGAGCCCAAACCCAGCGAUCCGGAGAGGAGUCAACAAAGAUUAUCCUGUUAGCAGAAUCCGAAUGGAAAGUCGGAACCAAAGAGGGUAAUAGUCCCGUAAGCGAAAACAGUUUAAUGCUCCCGGUUAUCAAUCUUGAGUACGGCGAGGAACGAACGCCUUGUCGGAAACAGGCAAGACUAUUUGCCAAGGCUAAAUACUCAAUAUCACCGAUAGUGAACUAGUACCGCGAGGGAAAGGUGAAAAGCAGCCCGACGAGGGCGAUGAAAUAGAUCCUGAAACCAUAUGCUUACAAAGAGUCGGAGCCUUCAGUGGUGACGGCGUGCUUUUUGCAGAACGAUCCAACGAGUUUUUGUGUAUUGCUUUAUCUAAGGCCUUUGGGCCGGAGAUGCAGGGAAACCGAGUCUGAAUAGGGCGAUUUUCGCUUAUUAUUAAUCGCUUAUCCUUUGGGAUCAACGAUUAAUAAUUCGCGAAUAUGUAGUACACAAAAGACCCGAAGCCAGAGCGAGCUUACCUUGGUCAGGGUGAACCUUGAGUAAUAUCAAGGGGAGGCCCGAACACACGAGCCGUGCAACACUCGGUGAUGAACUGACAACGGAGGUAGAGCACUGAAUGGAAGCGGAUGGCUUUGCCUACUGCUUCUAAUCAAACUCCGAAUGCCGUUGAAUCAGAGCUUGGGAGUCAGACUGUGGGGGCUAAGCUCCAUGGUCAAAAAGGAAACAGCCUAUGAUCAUCAUCUAAGGUCCCUAAAUUAAGUUAAGUGGAAAAGGAGGUGAGAUUUCUCAAACAGCUAGGAGGUUGGCUUAGAAGCAGCCAUCCUUUAAAGAGUGCGUAACAGCUCACUAGUCUAGAGAUUUCGCGCCGAAGAUUCAACGGGGCUCAAACUUAAUACCGAAGAUAUGAAUGCGAGCGCAGCUCGCGGACAAUUAACCUGUAACAUUUGACAGUUAACCCAAGAAGUUAAUUGUUAAUUGUAAAAUGUUAACUGUUCGCGAGCUACGCUCGCGUGGUAGGGGAGCAUUUCCAACUGCUGCGAAGCUCACGACGCGAGUCGGAGUGGAGCGUUGGGAAGAGAGAAUGUUGGAAUAAGUAACCACAAUGCCGGUGAAAGACCGGCACACCGCAAGCCUAAGGUUUCCUUGGCAAUGUUUAUCAACCAAGGGUUAGUCGGUCCUAAGGAUAAGCCGAGAGGCGACUCUGAUGGACAGCCGGUUAAUAUUCCGGCACCACUAUCAAUUUUCGACGGGGCGACGCAGCGCUGUAGAUGAAGUGCAUUAUUGGAUUUGCCAUCGGUUAAUCGAGGAGGCGAUACAGGAAAAUCCGUAUCGCAAUACUCCGAGAUUUGCCGGAAGUUCCUUCGGGAACAACUUCGUUGAGCGCGCUGCCAAGAAAAACCUCUAGAGCUAAAUUGACAGUGACCGUACCGAAAACCGACACAGGUGGGCGAGGCGAGUAGCCUCAGGUGAACGAGUGAUUCUUCGUUAAGGAACUCGGCAAUACAGCGGUCGUAAGUUCGCAAUAUGACCCGCCCCGCAAUUGCGGGGCCGCAGCUAAAGACGCCAAGCGACUGUUUACCAAAAACACAGCUCCCUGCUAACUCGCAAGAGGAUGUAUAGGGGGUGACUCCUGACCAGUGCUGGAACGUUAAACCUGGCGGUCGUUUUUGUCGCAAGACAGGAACGGCUAUCCGGGCUAAGCGCCAGUGAACGUCCGCGGUAACUAUAAAAUUGAACCGUGUUAAAGUAGCAAAAUACCUUGUCGGGUAAGUUCCGACGCGCAUGAAAGGAGUAACGACUCGGCGACUGUCUCAACGAAGAGCUCGGUGAAAAUGCAAUUCCGGUAAAGAUGCCGGGUACCUGCAGCAAGACGAAAAGACCCCGGAAGCUUUACUGCAGCUUGGUAUUGUGUUUUGUGUUUGGAUACGUAGCGUAGCGGGUAGGAUUUGAAGUCCAGGUUUCGGCCUGGAUGGAUCCGCCAAUGAAACACCCGUUUUCCAAAUGCUUUAUACUAACUGCGCUUUUCGAUUUUGUUCCUUGAUCGGGAGCAGAAUCGAAAAGCGCAAAACAGUGCCAGGUGGGCAGUUUAAGUGGGGCGCUUGCCCCUAAAGAGUAACGGAGGCGUUUAUCAAGGUUGGCUAGUCCCGAAUGGAAACCGGGACGAUAGGGUAAAGCCAGAAGCCAGCUUUACUGCAAGACGGGCAUGUCGCGCAGUCGCGAAAGCGGAACUUAGUGAACCGACCAUACUUCAUAGGAAGGUGGAAGAUCAUCGGCCAAAAGCUACUCCGGGGAUAACAGGCUGGUAGUGUCCAAGAGUCCAUAUCGACGACACUGUUCGGCACCUCGAUGUCGGCUCAUCUCAUCCUGGGGGUGAAGAAGCUCCCAAGGGUUUGGCUGUUCGCCAAUUAAAGAGGUACGUGAGCUGGGUUCAAACCGUCGUGAGACAGGUUGGUCUCCUAUCUACUGCAUCCGUUGAUUUUUGAGGGGGGU